Molecule: non-coding RNA, 28 nt
Filed under: Homo sapiens (human)
Lineage: Eukaryota; Metazoa; Chordata; Mammalia; Primates; Hominidae
Source: RNAcentral
UGGGAUACGGUGAUUGCUAGUUGUGAUU